This is a long non-coding RNA of Lycium ferocissimum, 661 nucleotides long. RefSeq lists it as uncharacterized. Lineage: Eukaryota; Viridiplantae; Streptophyta; Magnoliopsida; Solanales; Solanaceae. The record is from RefSeq and is a predicted model, not a curated record. The transcript is spliced from 3 exons.
UUUCAAACAAAAACUAAAACUUUAAACUCAAGAAAAAUAAUAUAAAGUAUUUACUACAAGAGCAAGAUUAUUUAAAUGCCAAUAAUAAAUUUAGGGUGUUACAUCUUUGUCAAAGACUUUGUAACUUAUUGAUGUCCAUGUUGUUGUAGUUCAAACCUGCGGAGAUUAACGACAUCCUGAAUGAUUUUAAUGAGCCCGAUUCACCUGCUCCAACUGGCCUACAUUUUGGUGGCAUAAAGUACAUGGUCAUUCGAGGGGAAGAACGGGUCGUAGCUUGAGUAACGAAGGAUGGCUGAUGAAACUUGUGAUUGAAGACUACAGUUUAUGUAGCAAAUGACCUUCUCACGUGGUCUAAUCAGGUCGCAAUGUUUUUUGUCGGGGACUACGAUAAAUGAAGCUGACAAUUUAUACCUUGAUUGACCUUUAAGUAGAUGCAUCACAGUUUAUUAAUAUGUAAAUAGGUAUGUUGUAAACCCCUGGACAUCCUGUAAAACUUGGUUCCUUAGUGAAUAGUACCAAGCAAUUAGUUUAUUUGUUGUGCAUUGCUUACUCUCUUUAUACUUCUUUAGGUUUUGAGUUGUUGGUAAGUUCAGAUUUCAAAUUUGCACAAACAUGCAAAUAUACCAAUAUUCAAUAUAUAAUGUUAAUAAUUAUAGAUCUC